UACGUAGGGGGCUAGCGUUGUCCGGAUUUAUUGGGCGUAAAGAGCGUGUAGGCGGCCUGGUAGGUCUGCUGUGAAAACUCGAGGCUCAACCUCGAGAUGUCGGCGGAAACCAUCUGGCUAGAGUCCGGAAGAGGAGAGUGGAAUUCCUGGUGUAGCGGUGAAAUGCGCAGAUAUCAGGAAGAACACCUAUGGCGAAGGCAGCUCUCUGGGACGGUACCGACGCUGAGACGCGAAAGCGUGGGGAGCGAACAGG
This 253-nucleotide ribosomal RNA is filed under the name uncultured bacterium. Its description in RNAcentral is "partial 16S ribosomal RNA". It matches the Rfam family "Bacterial small subunit ribosomal RNA", at positions 524 to 776 of the family's 1533-position model. The record is from RNAcentral.